UCCUGGUCAUUUGUUUUCCAAUUUCUUCUUGCAUGUGUUGAGGAGGGGUAGUUUAGGUUUUCUAUAUUUUCCUUAUUUCACUCAAUUUUCACUCAAUUAACUUGUACUUCCUUAGCCGUUCUCCUGGAUUUCCGGCCAAGCCUUGACCCUUUUUCCGUUGCUUUGUCGAGAAGUUUACUGUUCUUGCGGCGAGAAACUAUUCUUUCGGCUGCGUGAGCAUAUACAUAUUCUCAAAGAAGAAUGAAUUUUUAGUUUUUGAAAACUCAUCACUGAUAUUAAGGAGGAAGAACUAAAUAGAAACCAUCUCUCUCCUCCGCAAACCGAUGGCUUCCGAAGAAGACCUCGACGACGGCGAAGAUGACAACAACGGCGAACCAGUGUUGACGACAAUGAAGCAGUGUUGAGUAAGAUUGAUUCGAUUAAAGAGAUUGUCUUCAAGAGCCCCCACCGGGUGAGUUAUUUGUAUCCACAUCCAUCUCUCAAUCUAAGGCUAAUUUAUUUUUAUUUUUUGCAUCACAGCAAAAGCAAUUUGAGUCAAUUAUUAACACUGGUUCAUCGGAAUUAAAACAUAGCUUCCCAGUGAAGGCAAUUUUAAUGUUUACCGGCUUUUCAUGUUAAGUCGAUUAUUAACGAACAUAACUUUGAUUGCUAAGACGGAUGGGUAAAAUCAUGUGGCUCCGAAAAUAACCUAUUUACAGUGGCUCCAUGAAUAAGUAUAUCCCAUCAGUAUUAUAUAUAGGUUAAAUAUUCUCUCUAAUGAUUAGUAUAACCUUUAUGGAAUCUUCUUAGGCUGCGUUCCUAAUUAAAAGUUCGCAUGAUCUAAUUGGUCUGCUCAGUUCUCCGCACCAUUUACAUUUUUACAUUUGUAUAUGGCCAAAGAACGAGUGAUGUAUAUGAUUGAUUAGUUGGUGUUCAAAGUAAGAUGCGAAGGAUAGUGCCUUCCGAUUGUUUGAAAAAAAUCUUUAAUGACAAGAAUGCAGUCAGCUAACGUUAAUUGAUUGUUCGAUGUUGAUGGGACUCUUACAGCUCCACGGAAGGUGCCAUUUUCUCCCCCUAUUCUUGUUAUUUUUCCCACGUUUAACUUUGUUUAGGUCAAAAAGCUGUUUUUUUAAACAUGAAUGUGUGGCUUACUUUUGGUAUCCUGACCAACUUCAAUUUGGAUGUUUAUGACAAUUAGUUGUAGAAAAGUUCUCGUACCUCUACAUUUUUUUCCUUGUAACAUGGUCAAGUGGCCAAUUUAGCAAGACCACGCUUGUGUGUGACCAAUUGAACUUGCCAUGGUUAUUUGAUUAGCUUAGUCUGUAAUGAAUCACUAUAGAGACUGUUUGUUGAAUCUCUCUUAUUCACAUUUGCUUGGCCACGUGUCAGGUAGUUACUCCAGAUAUGUUGAAGUUCAUGCAGGAACUUCAGAAGGUAUUCACUGGAGGCCUUUUUAAUUUUUUUCCAUCUUUACUAUUCAAUAUGCCGUGGUUUUUUCCAUAUGAUAGUUCCUUCCCACAACUGCUUUACAGCUUGGUUUCACUACAGAUUGUUAUUUCAAGCCUUUUUUAGCCUAGCAAACUUCAGGUUUGUAGAAAGUAUUUAAACAAAGUUGUAGAGAAUCGAAUUACCUAUUCAACGCACUUUGAAUCGAGUGAAACGAACUUCAGAUGAGAAAGUUAUGCCCGAAAUACGAAAGGUUGUAUAAGAGGAAAAACAAGACGUCCUCGAGGACGUCCAGACCUGAGGUCCAAUGCCGAAAACAGCAUGUAAACAACAUUUUGAUAAUCUAUUCUCAAGGUUGAUAGUCAGUUCCAAACUGGUGUUCUCGCAAUUUUUGCUAUUGGAGAUGUAGCAGCAUUCCCCCUAAAGAUUCUUAGUUCUCUCUUCCUCUGAGUCUCUCGUUGAAGCCCUCUCAUUGGAUGUUUCGGAAUCCUUUCAGAAUUGAAGGUCAGUUUGGUGUAAAUUUUCACUUAUUUUCUUCCUUCGCAAUGUAGUGUCAAAGGGAUCACCCCAACACGUGUCAUACUUGUGCUCUGUUGUAUGCAACUUUUUUGGGUCUAAAAUUUUAGUUGUCAUUGUGAUGGUAGAAAAGGAAAUAGUUUUGUUUUUUGUCAUUUUUAUUUUGGAUGGUCUAAUAAGAUUUGUUGAGAAUGAUCCCCUUUGUCGAUGAUAUGUGUGGUUCUAUGAGCUUCUUGUUGUGAUUUUAUUUGCCUUAGUCAUAAUUUCAAGAUUAGGUAGGUCAGCUUCUUUAAUUGCUUGAAACAGUUUUAACACUUUUAACUUUGUUGGACAACUAUGAUUCCAAGUCUGCUAUAUAAUACUAUCAGAUAGUGAUGACUGAGAAAGGCAUUUAGUAUAAUUAUCUAUGGUUAUAUUAUGUACUACUACGUAGCUAUUGACAUUCAUAUUAUCUGCUACUACAUAGCUAUUCCACGCCAGACAUUGCAUUUAACUAGAGAAUCCGAAGCAUUAUGUUAAAACUUGAGACGCAGGAUUCGUUUCAUGCCCUGCCAAGGGAUCAUUUAGUGAUUCACUUUUAUCAGCUCCUAAUGGAAUUAUUGGACAUUUGAUUGAAUGGAAUCUCCUUUGGUGAAUUAGCUCACCAGAAAUAUUUGCAUUUUUUUUCGUUCUUAGAUGUUGAAUUUCCUUCUGGGGUCCACUCUGAUUAUCUGACUUCGGAUGUGAACUCACUACUUGUAAAGCUAUCUUUUGUUUUUAGGCUGUGGACUUUAUUACUGUCCAUGGACCAAAUUGCCUUGUUCUCUCAGAAAAAGUGAGGAGAGAAUUCUUAUCAGCAAUUCAUGAAGCUGCCAACAUGGGCUUACCUAAUCCUGCGGAGAGAAGAUCUGUUGCCCAACUAGCAACAAAAUUGCAUCAAAUCUGCGAUGAGGCAUUUUGAUUUUUUCAUCUAUUCAGUCCACAAGUUCACCUCUCUUCAACAUCAACCAAAAUAAAAGCUAUCGAUCAAAAAAGAAAGUUAAAUCUACCAACUAUCUCACUCUCAAAAACUCUCUCUCUCUCUCU
This is a long non-coding RNA of Rhododendron vialii, 3006 nucleotides long. RefSeq lists it as uncharacterized. The record is from RefSeq and is a predicted model, not a curated record. NCBI's taxonomy places the organism in Eukaryota, Viridiplantae, Streptophyta, Magnoliopsida, Ericales, Ericaceae. The transcript is spliced from 3 exons.